Molecule: transfer RNA, 55 nt
Filed under: Anolis distichus (bark anole)
Lineage: Eukaryota; Metazoa; Chordata; Lepidosauria; Squamata; Anolidae
Description: tRNA-Cys
Source: RNAcentral
AGCCUCGAGGUGUUUUACGUCAAAAUGCAAGUUUGAAGAAGAGCCCAAAAGGGCU